Molecule: non-coding RNA, 46 nt
Organism: Ciona savignyi (Pacific transparent sea squirt)
Lineage: Eukaryota; Metazoa; Chordata; Ascidiacea; Phlebobranchia; Cionidae
Source: Rfam
UAAACGGCCCUUUUAAGGGCCACCUAGUUAAUGGAAAGAGAUUGAA